GUCCCUGUCGAUUAGUGGUUAGAUCAUCACGUUGUGGUUUCACAAAUCCGUGAAGACGCAGGCUCGACUCCUGCCCGGGACA
RNAcentral lists this transfer RNA (82 nucleotides) under Lentinus tigrinus ALCF2SS1-7. RNAcentral describes it as "tRNA-His". It matches the Rfam family "tRNA". Rfam says of the family: Transfer RNA (tRNA) molecules are approximately 80 nucleotides in length. Their secondary structure includes four short double-helical elements and three loops (D, anti-codon, and T loops). The record is from RNAcentral. Lineage: Eukaryota; Fungi; Basidiomycota; Agaricomycetes; Polyporales; Polyporaceae.